GACGAACGCUGGCGGCGUGCUUAACACAUGCAAGUCGAACGAAGAGCGAUGGAAGCUUGCUUCUAUCAAUCUUAGUGGCGAACGGGUGAGUAACGCGUAAUCAACCUGCCCUUCAGAGGGGGACAACAGUUGGAAACGACUGCUAAUACCGCAUACGAUCUAAUCUCGGCAUCGAGGAUAGAUGAAAGGUGGCCUCUACAUGUAAGCUAUCACUGAAGGAGGGGAUUGCGUCUGAUUAGCUAGUUGGAGGGGUAACGGCCCACCAAGGCGAUGAUCAGUAGACGGUCUGAGAGGAUGAACGGCCACAUUGGGACUGAGACACGGCCCAGACUCCUACGGGAGGCAGCAGUGGGGAAUCUUCCGCAAUGGACGAAAGUCUGACGGAGCAACGCCGCGGGAGUGAUGACGGCCUUCGGGUUGUAAAGCUCUGUUAAUCGGGACGAAAGGCCUUCUUGCGAAUAGUGAGAAGGAUUGACGGUACCGGAAGAGAAAGCCACGGCUAACUACGUG
Molecule: ribosomal RNA, 510 nt
Filed under: uncultured bacterium
Lineage: Bacteria
Description: partial 16S ribosomal RNA
Rfam family: Bacterial small subunit ribosomal RNA
Source: RNAcentral